AGCGAAAUGUGAUAUAUGGUGUGAAUUGCAGAAUCCCGUGAACCAUCGAGUACUUGAACGCAAGUUGCGCCUGAGGCCAAGUGGUUGAUGGCACACCUGCCUGGUUGUCGUCGUAUGUCGUUUCGCUCCUGUAUUUGCUUGCUGCGGAAAUCAAUCGUUUGACGGCAUGAGCAGGGA
This 177-nucleotide ribosomal RNA is filed under the name Neuwiedia malipoensis. Its description in RNAcentral is "5.8S ribosomal RNA". The stretch from base 1 to 110 matches the Rfam family "5.8S ribosomal RNA", at positions 47 to 154 of the family's 154-position model. Rfam says of the family: 5.8S ribosomal RNA (5.8S rRNA) is a component of the large subunit of the eukaryotic ribosome. It is transcribed by RNA polymerase I as part of the 45S precursor that also contains 18S and 28S rRNA. Functionally, it is thought that 5.8S rRNA may be involved in ribosome translocation. Lineage: Eukaryota; Viridiplantae; Streptophyta; Magnoliopsida; Asparagales; Orchidaceae. The record is from RNAcentral. RNAcentral also lists the same sequence under 1 other name.